GACGAACGCUGGCGGCGUGCUUAACACAUGCAAGUCGAACGGAAAGGCCCUGCUUUUGUGGGGUGCUCGAGUGGCGAACGGGUGAGUAACACGUGAGUAACCUGCCCUUGACUUUGGGAUAACUUCAGGAAACUGGGGCUAAUACCGGAUAGGAGCUACUGCUGCAUGGUGGGGGUUGGAAAGUUUCGGCGGUUGGGGGUGGACUCGCGGCUUAUCAGCUUGUUGGUGUGGUAGUGGCUUACCAAGGCUUUGACGGGUAGCCGGCCUGCGAGGGUGACCGGCCACGUUGGGACUGGGAUGCGGCCCAGACUCCUACGGUAGGCGGCAGUGGGGUAUAUUGCACAAUGGGCGGAAGCCUGAUGCAGCAACGCCGCGUGCGGGAUGACGGCCUUCGGUUUGUAUACCGCUUUCGCCUGUGACGAAGCGUGAGUGACGGUAAUGGGUAAAGAAGCACCGGCUAACUACGUG
This 468-nucleotide ribosomal RNA is filed under the name uncultured bacterium. RNAcentral describes it as "partial 16S ribosomal RNA". It matches the Rfam family "Bacterial small subunit ribosomal RNA", at positions 28 to 507 of the family's 1533-position model. The record is from RNAcentral.